RNAcentral lists this ribosomal RNA (484 nucleotides) under uncultured bacterium. RNAcentral describes it as "partial 16S ribosomal RNA". It matches the Rfam family "Bacterial small subunit ribosomal RNA", at positions 30 to 507 of the family's 1533-position model. The record is from RNAcentral.
AUUGAACGCUGGCGGCAGGCCUAACACAUGCAAGUCGAGCGGAUGAAGGGAGCUUGCUCCUGGAUUCAGCGGCGGACGGGUGAGUAAUGCCUAGGAAUCUGCCUGGUAGUGGGGGAUAACGUCCGGAAACGGGCGCUAAUACCGCAUACGUCCUGAGGGAGAAAGUGGGUGAUCUUCGGACCUCACGCUAUCAGAUGAGCCUAGGUCGGAUUAGCUAGUUGGUGGGGUAAAGGCCUACCAAGGCGACGAUCCGUAACUGGUCUGAGAGGAUGAUCAGUCACACUGGAACUGAGGCACGGUCCAGACUCCUACGGGAGGCAGCAGUGGGGAAUAUUGGACAAUGGGCGAAAGCCUGAUCCAGCCAUGCCGCGUGUGUGAAGAAGGUCUUCGGAUUGUAAAGCACUUUAAGUUGGGAGGAAGGGCAGUAAGUUAAUACCUUGCUGUUUUGACGUUACCAACAGAAUAAGCACCGGCUAACUUCGUG